GAUGAACGCUGGCGGCGUGCUUAACACAUGCAAGUCGAACGAUGAAGCCCAGCUUGCUGGGUGGAUUAGUGGCGAACGGGUGAGUAACACGUGAGUAACUUGCCCUUAACUCUGGGAUAAGCCUGGGAAACUGGGUCUAAUACCGGAUAGGAGCGCCUACCGCAUGGUGGGUGUUGGAAAGAUUUAUCGGUUUUGGAUGGACUCGCGGCCUAUCAGCUUGUUGGUGGGGUAAUGGCUCACCAAGGCGACGACGGGUAGCCGGCCUGAGGGGGUGACCGGCCACACUGGGACUGAGAAACGGCCCAGACUCCUACGGGAGGCAGCAGUGGGGAAUAUUGCACAAUGGGCGAAAGCCUGAUGCAGCGACGCCGCGUGAGGGAUGACGGCCUUCGGGUUGUAAACCUCUUUCAGUAGGGAAGAAGCGAAAGUGACGGUACCUGCAGAAGAAGCACCGGCUAACUACGUG
RNAcentral lists this ribosomal RNA (466 nucleotides) under uncultured bacterium. RNAcentral describes it as "partial 16S ribosomal RNA". It matches the Rfam family "Bacterial small subunit ribosomal RNA", at positions 28 to 507 of the family's 1533-position model. The record is from RNAcentral.